AAACUGCUGGGAUUACAGGCGUGAGCCCCCGUGCCCGGCCCACAAUUUGUUCAUUUUUAAAUGUAAUAUUUGAAAAGUGUGCCUAUUAAAAAUCAUGUAAAAUUUUAUGAUUUUAGAGAGUAGUAACCGAUUUGUUCCUUUGUGAUUUUAUUUUGUGAACAUUCUUUAAACAGUGAACAGGACGUAUUUCAAAAAGUGUUUUUUAAGUUUUUAAAAACUUAGAAUGCAUUUUUCUAAUAAUAUGUAUAUUAUAUGAAGCAGUUUAUUCUGGUUAGUUCAUAAAAUUGUAUAAAGUAGCUGAAUUGUAUUACUGAUUAUCUGGGAAGUUUCAGGUCUUCAGACUUUUAUUUCUAUGGUGAAACUUAUUCUAAUUCCCAGCCCAAGAUUCUGGAACACAUCUCCCAUUAUGAAGUGGGCCUCAGGGUGGGAGUGGAAACAGAACCUCUUGUUCACACUCCACACCCUCAUUUUCCAGCAGUGAAGGUAGACUAUUAAGGCUCUCAUGUAAUCAAGGAUGGAGGCAAUGGGAUAAUGGAGAUUCUAGACAUUUGUUUCGUCACCAGCGAAAAUUAAAUGAAGACUCAGGAAUCACUACAGCUACAGGGAUGAGAAGGACAUUUCAGCAGCUACAGUGUGGUGAAAUAUGGCAGGCACACAGGCCUGAGACUGGAGUACGGCUUCCUACUUCCUCCUUCACAAAUCAAAGACAGCAAGCUCCAGGGUGCUAAUCCAACUGAGCUGCCACUCCAACUACAAUUAGCGAAGCUGGACAAGAAAGGAGAGAUGGAAAACCUGCCCCUAAAUGAGGUAUCCUCACCUCCUGUGCUUUCCAGUGAAGUGAAUUACAAAGGCGAGUUCAGAAAGAAAAAUGAACUGGGGAAUCUGAAUCUUGCCUUGAGGCAUAGAACUGACCAAGAUUAGCAAAAUACCUCCCAGAAAUUACACAGAAUGCACAACAGAAUGAAUACUUGAGGAAUCAAAAAGCAAAAAGUAUAAAAUAUUAUUAUAUAAUGAAUAUCAUAAAAUAGAAGCGUCAUAAAAUGAAGCAUAUAAUGAAUAUAAUAUUUGAGAGUAGAAAAGUAACAUCUGUCCUUGUUUCAAACAAUGGUAAAUUACAUACUAGUGGCAAGGUAAAUAAAUACUAGAGAAGUCUUGGCUCAGAAAUCUAUUCAAGGUAGCAUAAUUAAGACUUCAGAGGAAUGUUAUUUUCUGAGCCAGGCAGAGAAGGGCAAGUUAUUUCAUUCAAUAUUUAACAAAUACUUGCCAAGAAUCGACUCCCUGGCAGUGAUGAGACUGGUGGCCUUACUUCUAAAAUGGAAGGUUGAGCUGAAUGAUCCUUGUUAGUGUGAGCCACUCACUACGUAAUCUAAUGCUGCGGGAAAUUUUGGUAGGUGGUAGCAAUAGGAGCAAGGUGUGGUAGGCAGAAUCAUCUGCAAAGGUAUCUGUGUGCUAAUCUCUCAAACCCACGAGUAUAUUAUCAUAGAUGGCAAAAGGAACUUCACAGAUGUGAUUACAUUAAGAACCUUGAGAUAAGAUUAUCCUGGAUUAUCAUAGUGGACCUAAUCUAAUUGUAUAGGUCUUUAAAAUUGGAGAUCUUUUUCUAGUGUGGUAAGAAGCAGGGAGAUAUGACUACAGAAGAAUGGUCGGCAAGAUGUAACCUUGAAGGCUUUGACGAUGGCAGAAUGGAACCACAAACUAGGCAUUAGAGGUGGCCCCUAGAAGCUGAAAAAAGAGCAUAGCUCUAAAUACACCUCGAUUUUCGCCCAGUGAAACCCGUGUUAGACUUCUAGCCUACAAAAAUGGAAGAUAAUAAAUUUGUGUUAUUCUAAGACACUAAAUUUGUGACUAGUUGUUAAAUAAGCAACAAGAAACAAAUGUAAAAGUGUUCAUAUAAAGAUAGUAUGGUUCAUGAUGCAGAGGGAGAAAAGCAUGGAAUAAUCUGAUGAAUAGAAGUUAAGGAAUCAGUAAGAAAAUUUGACUGAGGUGUAGGAUAUAUGUAGAAGAAUAACAGAAGAUGAAUUAGUAUAAAUAGGUUGAGUUAGGUUAUUUUGGUUAAGGCCUUGAAAUACGUGCAAUCUUUUUUUAUAAUGAAAAAUAAUAUUAAGUAUCAUUUGUUAUUGAGCAGUAUAUCAUUUGUAUUCAAAUAUUAGUCAAAGUAUUUAAUACUAUUGCUCUUUGUUUUUUGAGAAGUCAUUAAAACAUAAUUCACAAAAGUCAAAUAUAAGGCCUUAUGAAAUGAAUAAUAAUAUAGACUGCUUACUUAAAGAAUUAAUUCUGAUGAUUUCACAAGAGCUUAUGUCUUCUUUAUAAUUUUCAAAAUAAGAUUAACUCUGGGGAACUAUCAUUAUUUAAAUAAAAUUAUGACCAUAUGCAUACACAACCUAUAUGAUUAUUUGAAUUGC
Macaca mulatta (Rhesus monkey) is the source of this 2402-nucleotide long non-coding RNA. Lineage: Eukaryota; Metazoa; Chordata; Mammalia; Primates; Cercopithecidae. The record is from Ensembl.